CCUACGUGAGGCAGCAGUGAGGAAUAUUGGUCAAUGGGCUUACGCCUGAACCAGCCAAGUCGCGUGAGGGAAGACUGCCCUAUGGGUUGUAAACCUCUUUUGUCAGGGAGCAACGCCGGCUACGUGUAGCCGGACUGAGAGUACCUGAAGAAAAAGCAUCGGCUAACUCCGUGCCAGCAGCCGCGGUAAUACGGAGGAUGCGAGCGUUAUCCGGAGUUAGUGGGUUUAAAGGGUGCGUAGGCGGAAUGCCAAGUCAGCGGUAAAAUCGCGGGGCUCAACCUCGCUCCGCCGUUGAAACUGGCGUUCUUGAGUGGGCGAGAAGUAUGCGGGAUGCGUGGUGUAGCGGUGAAAUGCAUAGAUAUCACGCAGAACUCCGAUUGCGAAGGCAGCAUACCGGCGCCCAACUGACGCUGAAGCACGAAAGCGUGGGUAUCGAACAGGAUUAGAUACCCUGGUAGUG
This 460-nucleotide ribosomal RNA is filed under the name uncultured bacterium. Its description in RNAcentral is "partial 16S ribosomal RNA". It matches the Rfam family "Bacterial small subunit ribosomal RNA", at positions 338 to 795 of the family's 1533-position model. The record is from RNAcentral.